GAUGAAGAACGCAGCAAAAUGCGAUAAGUAAUGUGAAUUGCAGAAUUCAGUGAAUCAUCGAAUCUUUGAACGCACAUUGCGCCCGCCAGUAUUCUGGCGGGCAUGCCUGUUCGAGCGUCAUUUCAACCCUCAAGCCCUCGGGUUUGGUGUUGGGGAUCGGCGACCCUUUCUGGCAAGCCGGCCCCGAAAUCUAGUGGCGGUCUCGCUGCAGCCUCCAUUGCGUAGUAGUAAAACCCUCGCAACUGGAACGCGGCGCGGCCAAGCCGUUAAACCCCCAACUUCUGAAUGUUGACCUCGGAUCAGGUAGGAAUACCCGCUGAACUUAAGCAUAUCAAUAAGCGGAGGA
This 346-nucleotide unclassified non-coding RNA is filed under the name soil metagenome. RNAcentral describes it as "partial contains 5.8S ribosomal RNA, internal transcribed spacer 2, and large subunit ribosomal RNA". The stretch from base 1 to 120 matches the Rfam family "5.8S ribosomal RNA", at positions 35 to 154 of the family's 154-position model. The record is from RNAcentral.